ACACUGCCAAAACCCAAAACCAAAAAAACAACAUAAUCGGACGGUACGAGUCGCGGAAGACCGUUAUCGUGUGUGCUCUGAAAUUAUUUUUUGGUACAACUAAAUUAACAAUGAACGACGAGAAAAGAACCAAAAACGCAACAACCAAACAUACACGAUAAUCAAAAUCAAUCAACGCCCGUCAGUAAUUAUCGGAGAAACGCAGCGAAUUAUAGAUAUAGAAGAAAAUAAUAGAAGUCAUACAUUUUGCAUAUACACACAUAAACACAUUUAACGAUAAAGGAGAACAGACAAAGUGACAAAAAGAAAACAAGAACAAGCAAAAGUAACGGCUAAUUCUCGGAAUCAGACGCAGCAAGCAGCAGCAAAGGCAGCGGAGCGCAAGCGAGACGGCAGCACAGCUCCGCUGCGCAGAGCGCAGGAGAAGGAGAGUACUAGGCAGAGUUGGAGCCACCCCCCGCGCCCUGCACUGUCCCUCGCUGAAAAAGAGUGCAGCGCUCAAAUAUAAGCACAUUACGACGCGACCUACUAAGAAAAAGAGCUCAAGUUGGCCCACAUUUUUAUGUGUGUUUGACAUUUCUCAACACUGGGCACGUACGCUUGAAUAUUCCACAACAACAAAACAGAGGAAACAAAAUGCAUUAAAAAGUCAGAAGUGAGGAAAAAUAUUAUGUAUGCUCCUUUGAGGUCGAGAAAUACAACAACAAAAUAAAGGCAUCCAAAUGACGAGAAAGAAUUAAAUAAGAAAGAGGAUUAUCUUAAAGCAAACAAAUAAGAAAAAGAAACAAAACUAAUUAAAGACUAUAAAGAGACUGCUAAAAGGAACAACAACUCUACAGAUAGAAACAACAACAAAAACAACAACAAAAACAACCAGGAGAAGAAAGACUAGAAUUAAACAUAAUACUAAUAGUUUAUCAAUAAUAAUAUAUAUAUAUAUAAAACAGAGAGAUCAAAAAAACUACACACACACAUACACAGCAACACACACACA
Drosophila obscura is the source of this 994-nucleotide long non-coding RNA. RefSeq lists it as uncharacterized. NCBI's taxonomy places the organism in Eukaryota, Metazoa, Arthropoda, Insecta, Diptera, Drosophilidae. The transcript is spliced from 5 exons. The record is from RefSeq and is a predicted model, not a curated record.